This 808-nucleotide ribosomal RNA is filed under the name Bacillus pumilus. Its description in RNAcentral is "partial 16S ribosomal RNA". Lineage: Bacteria; Bacillati; Bacillota; Bacilli; Caryophanales; Bacillaceae. The record is from RNAcentral.
AGGGGCCCGUUGUGACUUACCAGGGUAUCUAAUCCUGUUUGCUCCCCACGCUUUCUGCAUGAGCGUCAGUAUUGGCCCAGGGGGCUGCCUUCGCCAUCCGUAUUCCUCCACAUCUCUACGCAUUUCAUUGCUACACGUGGAAUUCUACCCCCCUCUGCCAUACUCUAGCCCGCCAGUCACAAAUGCAGUUCCCAGGUUAAGCCCGGGGAUUUCACAUUUGUCUUAGCGAACCGCCUGCGCACGCUUUACGCCCAGUAAUUCCGAUUAACGCUUGCACCCUACGUAUUACCGCGGCUGCUGGCACGUAGUUAGCCGGUGCUUAUUCUUCCGGUACCGUCAUCCACCCCGGGUAUUAACCAGGAUGAUUUCUUUCCGGACAAAAGUGCUUUACAACCCGAAGGCCUUCUUCACACACGCGGCAUUGCUGGAUCAGGGUUGCCCCCAUUGUCCAAAAUUCCCCACUGCUGCCUCCCGUAGGAGUCUGGGCCGUGUUCUCAGUCCCAGUGUGGCUGGUCGUCCUCUCAGACCAGCUACAGAUCGUCGCCUUGGGUAGGCCUUUACCCCACCAACUAGCUAAUCUGCCCAUCGGGCCGCCCCUGUAGCGAGAGGUCCUAAGAUCCCCCCCCUUUCCUUCCUAGAGCGUAUGCGGUAUUAAAUCCGGCUUUCGCCGGGGCUAUCCCCCCACUACAGGACACGUUCCGAUGUAUUACUCACCCGUUCGCCACUCGCCACAGGAUUGCCCCCGGCUGCCGUUCGAAUUGAUGUGAAGGCAGGCCCCAGCGUUCAUUCGAGCCAGGUAUCAAAUCUC